Long non-coding RNA from Microtus ochrogaster (prairie vole), 2176 nucleotides. RefSeq lists it as uncharacterized. Lineage: Eukaryota; Metazoa; Chordata; Mammalia; Rodentia; Cricetidae. The record is from RefSeq and is a predicted model, not a curated record.
CCCAUCCUAUGGGUGCCGAGUGGGUGCGCGAUUUCAGUGCACCUGUGAGCCGUCCCUGCACCGCGCGCGCAUUGGGCGUUACUAACGGACAACUCCUGCCUCUGGGAUCUCAGAUACAGGGAUGCUUCGGGAAUUGUGGACCCUCUUGCCCUUUAUUGACUAAUCCCCUCGGACCCAGGCCCUGGAGAUGGUGAAGGGACCAGGAUGUGAAUCUAGGUAGCUGCAUCUGCGGUUCUAGCUAAGGACAGCGCGAAACGUGUUGGAGAAUGUGUUUCCAGCUCACCUCAGUUUAAAAAAAAACAAACCAAAACAAAAAAAAACCUAUCCGGAACGGACGCACAGACAGAGAUUCUCUGACUUGACAGCCGAGUAAUAUCGAUCUGAAAGAAAAAAAAAAAAAAAGACAAUUGGUGCACGUUAAUUUGAACCAAAUCUCCUAGGAGCCAAGACUAGAGGAUCAGAGCUCACCAAAGGAGAUCACAACACGGGGUACGAGUUCCUGAGAACCAGCUGUAAAUACGCCAGCGUAUUUAAUGUCACUUGGAACCUGCAAGUUAAGUAACUUCCAGAUCUCCUUCCCAAAUGAAGGAUCGUGGCACAGGUAUCCUUGGAUGGCCUGGAACUCAUCGCAUCGAACAGCCUGGCUUUGGACUCAUUGGCAGUCAUAUUGCCUCAGUUUCCAGACUGCUGGGAUUCUAGGCAUGUGCCACCAUGUACAGCUCUGUUCUGUAUUUUAAGACAGGGGCUCACUUUCUAACCCAGCUGAGUUGCAGCAAGCCUACCACCUGGCGUGGGUUUUCAGGUGGACAGAACCACACCCAACUUACUUUCUGAAUCUUAGGAUGUUUUGGCAUUCCCCAAAACUUGAAGGCUUUGGGGGAGACUUAUGCUUUUAGGGUAGGUCAUUGUUUGGGGCCACAAAAAAAAACCCAAAAACAAACAAAAAAAAAAAACGCUCUCUACCAGGGGCGUAGCUAUCCUGAACAAACCAACCAAUCCUGAGGCUAUGUUCCCAACAACUUUCUGAUUUAAGUCUCACACUCAAACCAGUUUUUCUCUUCCCCUAACUCACCCAGGGCCAGGUGUCAGGCAACCAGAUACCACUCCUGUACCCAAAGUCACUUAACUGUUCAUUUGCCAAUGCUGAGCAAUUUGUUGUGCCCAGGUGUGCCUUUUCCUCAGCAACGCCAGCAAAGACUUGACCUCGUACUUUCUCCACAUUCUACUUUGUUGAUGUAAGAGUCCGGGUUAUUCUGCACCUUUCCAGGUAGCCUACUGACCUUGAACUUGUGAUUCUCCUGUGACAGGCUCCUGAACACUUGAGAGCACUGUGUAUUUUCCCCAUUAACUUGUGCUCUACUAUUUAGUACGAACUGGGUAUUUCCCCUUGGCCCCACUUAGCCAUGGGCCAUUCCCUUUCUGGGUGGGAUCUGUGACUGUAGAACCAUCUUCCUUCCAAGUUUCCUUCUAUCCCCUCCUGGGGUUGUAAGAUCUUUACCAACCCACCUUCAGCUUCUGCAUCCUUCAUAAGGACAGUUGUCUCAGAAAGGGGCUGUGGGCAUAGGAAAGGUGAUAAGCCAAAAUGUCUUAACUUGCCUUGAGAAAUAGAAACUCAGAGACUAUUGGGUGUUCUCCUCUUUCCGUGGAGAUCCUCUUGGUGGGGGACUGGCAACAUGACUACAAGAGUCAGAGGUCCUGGGACCUGAUGACUUGGUCACUACCUGUCACACCAACACACCUCCUAGAGACAAAGAUGAGGGGUUAUUAAGGAUACUAAGGGCCAGAAAGAUGGCUCAGCGGGCAAACCCUGAUGAUCCAAGUUCUAUCCCUAAGACCCACAUGUUAGAACAAGUUGACUCCUCCAGGUUGUCCUCUGAUCCCCACAUGUGCACUGAGGCCUGCAUGCCUACAUACCUUCAACACUUAAAGAAAGGUCGUUAGGGCUGAGGAACAAACACAGUUGGCAGAGUGCUACCCUAAUGUGCAGGAUGCUGUGGUUUCCCUCUGCCAAACUACGGAAAGGGUGACUGGGAGCUCAGUGCUAUACUCCUGCAUGCCAGAAAAUUGGGUAGCUGAAUCAGGAGUUACUGCCUUCUCUGGGGGCAUAGUGAAUCCUCUGCCAUCCUGCAUAGCUACAUGAGACCAUGAAAUGCCAUUAAAGGCUCUCUUAGAAUUU